AGUUAAGUUGAGUUGAGUUGAGUUAGUUGCUGUUAAAUGCUGGUUGGCUGACUAUAUCCAUAAAAUAUUAUUUGGUAGGAAUGCAUAUAUGGAGGUCAUAAUUGUUAGAUUUCACCAUUAAAUCAGUUUAGUAAUUUUUACUUUUUAGCUACAUAAAUUUUGUUUUUCAGAGUGUUGUUUAAUACAAUAGUGUUAAAAUUUUAUUGGGUUUGUUACCAUAUCAGAAAGGGUGUGUUUAAACUUUUGAUGUUGCUGUCAACUCAUGUUCAUUGGAAAAAUAUUUCCUCAGGACCAUAUGGUUGCUGCAGGCAAUUAGGCAAUGACAUUUUCAUAUUUAUUUAUGUGUAUCAGCUAUGUUCAGGCUGUGUAAAUGCUUUUUUUUUAUUUUUUAUGGUACUCAGUUUCUACUUAUGCUUUGCGGUUCAACAUUGGAAUUCACAGGCAGUCAUAAGUACAUCAAGAAUAACUUAUUUUUUAGAUGCCAUGCUAAAUUAUAGGUUUCUUUA
RNAcentral lists this unclassified non-coding RNA (506 nucleotides) under Hevea brasiliensis (rubber tree). Lineage: Eukaryota; Viridiplantae; Streptophyta; Magnoliopsida; Malpighiales; Euphorbiaceae. The record is from RNAcentral.